Molecule: ribosomal RNA, 490 nt
Filed under: uncultured bacterium
Lineage: Bacteria
Description: partial 16S ribosomal RNA
Rfam family: Bacterial small subunit ribosomal RNA
Source: RNAcentral
GAUGAACGCUAGCGAUAGGCUUAACACAUGCAAGUCGAGGGGCAGCAUGGUCUUAGCUUGCUAAGACUGAUGGCGACCGGCGCACGGGUGCGUAACGCGUAUGCAACUUGCCUCACAGAGGGGGAUAACCCGUCGAAAGACGGACUAAUACCGCGUACACUUGGGAUAGUGCGUCCUGACCCAAGGAAAUGAAUUUCGCUGUGCGAUAGGCAUGCUUCCCAUUAGCUAGUUGGUGAGGUAACGGCUCACCAAGGCGACGAUGGGUAGGGGAACUGAGAGGAUCAACCCUCACACUGGUACUGAGCAACGGACCAGACUCAUACGGGAGGCAGUAGUGCGGAAUAUUGGUCAAUGGGCUAGAGCCUGAACCAGCCAAGUCGCGUGCAGGAUGACUGUCUUAUGGAUUGUAAACUUCUUGUAUACGGGAAUAACAAGAGGCACGUGUGGCUCCCUGCAUGUACCGGAUAAAUAAGCAUCGGCUAACUCCGUG